Passer montanus (Eurasian tree sparrow) is the source of this 8205-nucleotide RNA transcript. It is a transcript of the gene named NFAT activating protein with ITAM motif 1, with no coding region annotated. The record is from RefSeq and is a predicted model, not a curated record. Lineage: Eukaryota; Metazoa; Chordata; Aves; Passeriformes; Passeridae. The transcript has 8 exons.
UUUGGAGUAAACCUCGUUCCUAUAAAGUCUGGAGGCAUAAAACAGCUGAUGUUUUAGAAUACAUGGAGCUUACAGGCUCAUCUGCUGCCGUAGGUCUUUCCCCACAUGACCGUCCCACACCAGUGUCUGCAGCACAGCGCCCCAUGUGAAUGGGCACCCUUGAAAUUGCAGCAAAGUGCUUUCCUGUGGACAGUGCAAUUGUCUCACAAGAAGUGUGAAAGGCGGAAGCUGCCUAAAGAGAAGUGAAGACCUCUCAGCCUCAGGAGUUUUUAUGAGUCAGAUGCUGCUCAGCUGUUGCAUUGCAGAUGUCUUAGCUAAAAACAAGCGUUCAUUGAAAAUCAAAGACUCUUCGUGAGUAUAGGCGGCAGGAGCCUCCCACAAAACGUGGUUUUUCUCCUUCAAAGGGCUCUCCUUAGAUUUGCCUACAAUAGAUUACUUAAAGCUUGUCUGCAUUGCGAAGCUGAGUCAGGGCCAACAUGGUGUGGAUCUGAAAUGGUCCAGCUGUUCAGCACAAAUUUGCGUCUGGUUGUUCUCACUCUGUGAAUGUGAGUGCCUUCCUCUGAAGGGACCUAGUGGAGAAGUCGGCUUUGGAGGGCUGUUUUGUGGAGUCAGGGGUACAGUAGAGGCUUUUUCUCUCUAUUGACUACUCAUGUGUGUACUCGUUCUCUGUGUUGAAGGCAAAACAGGUGAUCCCACACUUAGUGGAAGGUGACAGAGUUUGUUGUAAAUGCAUGCGAUGUUUUACAGUCAUCAGGAAGCAAAGCUCUGUGUGUUACAGUGCUUGUGGUCUAGUCUUUGGACACCCGCUAGUGGGUCUGACACCAUCCUUGUAGUACAGAGAAGUCAGCCCUGGUGUGGGGAGGAGUCUGACCAAAAAGCAGAAGAGCUUGCAUCUGCCAGGAACUGCUUGCCAAAUGCGGUGUGUGUACAUCUCGCCUGUCCCUUCACAAGCAGGAGGGGAUCAACCAGCUGCCCUGGCAUGAAAAUACCUGACAAACCCCCACCUCCUCUGCCUUUUGGAUCUUUGUGUCUGGUUGCGUUCUUACAGCCUUUGACCUACCCGUCAUGAUCCCAAAUCUAAAAGUCAUCUUCCUGUUUCUUUGGUUGCUUCGUUGUGGAGGAGGAGAUGUCGAUGUACAGCAGAAACCUCCAAUCCAGGUUGCCUUGCUCAAGGAAGGAAUAUCCAUCCCCUGUGAAGUCAUCUUCCCUUACAUGCCUAAAUACACCAAAUUUUCAAUUGACUAUUACUGGAUUAAUUCACUGCAUCAGAAGACAUCUAUCUAUAGUAAGGAGGAAAAUGUAGCCAUUCCUUCUGGGAAAGAGAAUAAGACUGCUGCCUUACAUUACAACUACAGAAUCAUGACACUUGAAAACACCUCUUCUACUGGCACAUACUACUGCAAGGUCAAAUGGAAUGAUAUCCAAAAAGUGGGAAAGGGAGUGUUUGUCCAUAUUAGAGAUACAGGAUACAUAAAUACCUCUUAUGGGUGGGAAAUCCUCGUUACCCUUACUGUUCUUCUUGCUGUACUGAGCAUCACCGCAACAGCUCUGCUUCUGUGGAAAAGAAAGGUGUUGUGCCCUAGAAGGAACCAGCCAAAUAUCCUGAGACACAAGGUGGAAACACAGCUCCCUUCAGCCAGCCCACCACCACUACCCCCUCCUGUCUAUGACAGCCUGGAUGUGCAGCAAGUUGAUGUCUAUUCUAGCCUCGAGAACAACACAAACAACCCAUCACACAGAAAGAAUCCUCCAGGGAAGACACCUAAGAAGCAAGAAACUCUAGAAGAAUCCUCUGAUACAUUGUAUGAGAAUAUCUAACAGGGAAGAUACCAGACAUCUUUCUCUAUGGCAGAGCUACUCUCUUACAUCCCUGAUGAGAUGCAGAUACACGGAGAGAUCCACACUGACUUCAGAGCACAACCACGAGGGAAUUGUGAACCCCUUGCCCCUUCUAAACUGCCCUUCAUUAACAAGAGAAUGUAUCUGUUGAAAUCCCUCGGGGCUCAGUCUGCAUUGAUGCAGCAAAGCUAUUUUGCUGCAAAGCUGUUUGAUGCAAAAGAAAAGCUGCUUUUGUCAAGCACUUAUCUUGGGAAUGGGCAAUCUGUGAAGGUUUCUCUCACCUGCCCCGGCUGAAAUACUUAACUGUUGAUCCUCUCUGCAAGUGGCAGGACAAUCCAGAGACUUCCCUAUUUGCUGGCUUGAUGUUCCGAUCCUGACCUGCAGCCGCUCAUCUGAUCCUAUGCUUGCGACUUUGCCGAAAUGGCCAUCAGGACUUCAUGCAUAGUUUAAUCAGAUCCAAGCAUCCACCUGCGCAUUUCCCUUUCUCAGGAGCCCCACAGCAAACACGCUUUCUCAUAAUCUGCUAAUCCCAUCAAGUAGUCACAGAUGCCUGCUGCGACCUUACUGGGGCGACUCAAAUCAGUGCCUCUAAGAAAAUGCUUCCCCUUCAGCAAUAUCAGCAGUACACGGUGAGGACCGGAUGCAUUGAUGGAGAUAAAGGUGGAGAAAAGGAACACAGAGAAAAUAUCCCUUCCUGACAACGUCUAUGUCUCAGUGCCCAUUCCAGAGCAAGAAAGAGGAACAAGGAGGUGGGAACGUGAGGAAACUCUCUUGCUGGGGCUGCUUAAGCCGGGCGGGUCUGGGGCCAGGCUCCAGCCUGCCGAAGUCCGAGGGGAGCUCGCCGGUUUCCUUUUCUUCUUGGCAGUGGCCAUUGUCAUCGCUUGGGAUUUUGAGCCUCUGUGGGAGCAGGCAUGGUACCUCUGCCCCACCAAAACCAAUCGGUUUGCCUUUGUUUCAGCUGGCUGGGGUAGAGUACAAAGCUCCUUUACACGCCCCCACCGUACAUUACUGGCCAGGGAGAUCAGUUCUGAAACUUAGAACGACCGGAGGAAGGAGGCCUUAGAAGUGAAUUUGCUAUCCAAGUUCUUUCUCCCCUGUCAGCUGGAACUUGCCUACCAUUUGUGUUGAUGCAUCUUCUGCUUCUGAUAGGGAAGAUGUUAUAGUAAAUAGCUGUAUAACAUGAUCAAACCAGCACAUCAAAAAGCUGAGGCUGUUUUAUCUCAUAUUAAAAACAACAACGAAAUAACCAAACAAAGCCAACCCAAAAUAAGAAUAUGCAGCAUAACUUGAGAGGAAUUGUAGAAACCUCUUUAAAGAAGAAGAUCAAAUUAAAAUUGAGCUCCAGGGUCAUAGGACCCUCUCUAGCUGAAGAUAAUGUUGCUAUGUAUCAGAGAUAGAGGCUGUGGAAAAUGUCUCCGGGGCCUCCAACCUUCCUAUGCCAUGUUUAAAGAGAUAAUCCGCUUAUUGCUUUGCUCUUUUUAUUAGAAACCAUUUCAAACAUGCAAUUUGGACUUUCUUUAACCACAGAAAAAUGUUUUUUCUCUUCCCAGCACUGAGAAAUUCAUUUCAGAAAAGGCGAUGAAUGGACAGCACGUCUUAUUAGAUCCAUUUAUAAUUUCUUAAGUGAUCAUAACAAUUAUAAAUAUUUUUGAAGUAAAAAGUUUUACAUUUUACUAAUACGACCAGGAAAUAUUUGUGUUCACAGAAGAAUUUACAGAGGAUUGUACAGCCUUCUCAGGGGUGUCUCUACUGCAAAUCAUCUCUAAAUACCCAGCUAGGGCUGGUUCUUUAUCAAGGGAAGCACUUGACUGCGCAGCACCCAUGAAAAAUGGUUGCUAGGCUCUGGUUUGCACUGCUGUCCUACCCAGAGUGCCCUGCAGGAAACUGAUGAAGGCUCAGAUAUUGCUCUUUCUGUGGUGGUCAAGAUGUGCAACACACAGUGAAUUAUCAUUGAGAGUUUAUGAAGAAAAAAGGAGCAGCUCAACAGAGCACCAGUGAUCUCCAAGAGAAGAAAGUGAACCUUCGGUGUCUUCUUUUCCUUGAUUCUUGGACAAGCCAGGCUCCACUUAUUGUGAGGGAUGAAAUGUUUUUCUUUCUUAAUAAUGAAGUAGAAAUGCAGAUUACAAUUAGUAACUAGUAUGUCACUAGGUUCUUCACUAUUAAUAACUAGGCCUGUAAACUGCUGGAAUGUGUUGUGAGCAGUGAAUCUUCAAUGUUCACAGCAUCUGUGCAUCAGAGAGCUGCCACUGUGCAGCUGCCUGGGGACAAAGUGUGAUGGUGCCCUGACAGUACCGGACAGGUUCCUGUGGGAAGUGACACAGAGAAGCUGCUUCUCAGGGAGGGACUGUUUCAGCAGGAGGGGAGGGCUCCCGUUCCAGGAGGAAAUCUUUCUCACUAGCUGAUGAACCUCUCCUAGAGCUCCUCUUUUCCUUCAGCUUUCUGAAAUAUGUGGGUUGUGUUGUAUCACUCUGGGCCACAUGAAGAUUUGGAUAUACAGCUGGUAGGGCCAGGCAGGUCAGCCACCCUGCUUUAAAGAGUUAGAACGUAAUUAUCCAAAUUGGAACAGGGUGAACAUGAAAAAGCUAACAUAUGGGCUUCUUCAAAACGUUAUGUCUUUUAAUAACCUGUCAGGGCCUCUGGUUUCUAUCCCAUCUGAAAGAUUCAUCUGCCUACAAUUUUGUGCAAUGAUAUCUGAGCACUUCCAGGGGUAAUAAUUGUAUCCAAAAUACCUGUGACACAGUGAGCUUCCCUCCCUUGUGAGAGAAUUAGUGCUGUAAUGCCCGUAAUGGUGCUUUUGGCACUGACACGUACUAUUAAAAUCAAAGGUUUCAGAAGUUCUUACAAGGCUCAGUAUGUCAUUUCAGGUUCAUGCAUGGAAAAAAUGGAGAGUCGGGAGCUUAAAUGACUUUUCCAAGACUACAGAGCAUCAGAGGCGAAGUUUGGAAAAGAAUUCAGGUUUCUGUGUUCUUAAUUCUAUCAGGUUGUCCAGGAAGAAACCAGUAGCUGGGUAAGUAAGACCUGCUGAGCUACUUAUAGUUUAGGGAAAAGUAAAGUUUCUUCUUGAGUCACCAGCACUGGGUUCUGCUGCACUAUGCUUUUCACUUUUGAUUUCUCAUGCAGGUAUCAAUAAGACCUGCAUCUGCCUAGCUGAGGUUGUAAAGCUGCAGAAGAAGUUACUCCUCUCUUUUACAGAGGCAUCCAUCAUUUUUGCAAUAAGGAAAGCUUAUCAGAUCCAAAUUACCAUAAAAAGUCCAAAUAUGUAUGCUGUAAUUCUCCAAAUAAAUGUUUACAGAGGGAAUGUGCUGAGUUGUUGUUCAUCCAACCCAUGAAGUCUUUCUGAUUGCUGAAGUUCCUGAGCUUAUGGAGAAGAAACCAAAUGACUGCAGCUGAAUUGCAAAGGCUCUCUCCACUCCCAAGGAAGGAGGCAGGGAAGUCCCUACCAUCACAAUUAGAUGCUGGAGAAGGAGGUGUGAGGUGAGGUGAUAAUGCUGAUAGUAAUGCGAAUAGAAAUGCUUGCCAUUCUUUUUAAUGUUUAAAGGAAACUACAGUUUUGAAGUGAUCUAAUUCCUGCUCAGUUGGGUUUUUUAUUCAGGCAGUGAAAUGCAAUGCUGUGCUGGCACAUGGGGGAGAGAAAGCAAAACUUCAUCUUGGCUCUCUUGGGAUUUCUGUACACUUUCAGACUCAUUCAGGUAAAGGCAGGGUGUGAAUCUGAAGUAUGCAGCUCUUCCAGCAUGGCCCUCUGUGCAGAUUGGCCCUUUGCUAAGAAAGGUGCAGAAUGCAGGUGGGGGUUCUGAAGAACCACUUUAAUAGAAGGAAUUGUAACUGUUCUCCCCAAAAGGUUUAAGAUCUUGCUGUCCAUAAAAAUCAGGUUAGCUAUUUUGGGUUCUUGCAGAGCUAAAAUGAAUGCAGCAUCUCUCAUUUCCAGUCAUGAUAAGUCAUUAGAUAUCAAUUCUUAAUUGCUUGAUUAAUCUUGAAUUUUCAGAGCUGACAGUGCCUUUCCAAGCACUUAGACAAGAACUACAUUUGAAAGAAAGGAGAAAAUGCUUCUUUUUUCUUUACUUUUUUUCCUUUUCUUUAAGCAUGGUCUGCAAGGUAAGAGCAUGAAAUUACAGAGAUUUGUAACAUGUUGUCCUGAGAAAGAUGGACCAUUAAGCAGAGUGCAAAUGAAGCAGACACAGGUUUGUGAUAAGCUGGGGGGGGGUGAUGGAUUAAUUUUAGCAUAUGCUUCAGUAAUUCCUUACAAGAUUAUAUCAAAUAUUAGUAUACUUACAUUUGCUGUAUAUUUGUGUGUGUUAGGCCAUGUUUUUCAUGUACAUAAAUAAGCAGAAAGGUUUCCUUCAUGAAGCUCAUGACAUUUCUAUGUAGAGGAAGACAAUUUAAGGUCAACACUUAUGGGGGACUAUACCUCUGUGUGCUUUGUUAUGGGUGAACUGAUAAUGAUCACUGCACAUGCCUCCCUAAAGGGUGGUGUUUAAAAAAUACAGACCAAAUUUAAAAGAAAAGCCAUUCAGACUCUCUACGGAACAUUUAUAAAAUUGUUUGGGGUUUUUUUUCCCCUGUUUUUUCUUCCCCCCAGCCAUGAGUGUGUGGCACAUCUGGGCUUAGAAGUGACAUGGUGUAUCAGCCCUUGCUUUGAAGCAACAUAUUAAACUGUCAGGUCUCCUUUUCUGUAUAACAGGCAGGCUAGAAAAUAUGAUGGCACAAUGUGAUGUAAAGGUAUUAUGGGUGCAAGCUUUCCUAUGUUACAUCUUUUACAUCCUGUCUUGGUUUCAUCCCUCUAACUAUGGAAUAUGAAAGAUUUUUUUUCAUUCUAAUUAACAACUCUAUCUGCCACAGACCUUGGAAGAGGUUAGUGCUGCCCAAGACAUCUACUCCAAGGUCUGUGUAAUCCAAAUGAAUGUUUAUUAAAACAUCACUGCUGUUUUCUUGCAGAUGGUGAGCCCGUGACAUCUCAAGGAAGUCAUAGUGAUAAAAGGGAAAAAUUCUGACAAUAGACCUUCCCCCCCACAGCCCUUCUCAAUACAAGACUCCAUCUAUGGUUACCAACAUGGUUAUUUUGGUCUACAAGUGCCUCCAGCAAUGGUGUGGAGAAGGGAGAUUUCCACGUACUGGGCUGGGACCUAUUGCUCUGCAGAUGUCCCAGUCUGUGAGCAGUUAAAUGGUCCCAAAGGCAUCUUGUCCUCAUGCAAUCCUUUCCUGCAGUCAGGGUUUCUUUAGUGGUUUCUUGUGUGCUUGUUUCCAUAGUCUUGUGUGAUGUGAAUCAGGUGGUGGGAGCUCCUGUGGGAUGCUGUCUUGCAGUCUUGUAGAUUAAUGUUUCCUUUACUUAAUUUACUUUAUAUUUAUCCCAUUUAUACUCGCUCAGACAACCCUAAACAUUCCUUCUUGCUCCCUGGUGCUUCUGCCCCUGAAGUUCUCACCUGCAAUUCCCAUGAUGCUCUUCACAGUUGUUAUUUGGCCAACCUACACAUGCUGUAAUCCCUUCCAUCUUUUUGUGUUCCUCUUGUUUUAUUUCCCUCCAAGUUGUUGACAUGUAGCUUGCACCGCGUUGUCCAGAGCUAAACAUGUCUUCGAGCUGCGGUCUCACCACUAUAUUAAAAAAUGGGACUAUUGCCUGUAUCUCUGAGAAGAGGUCUCUGCCUUUACAACCCCAAAUUAAAUUAAGUGCAUGAUUUUUGCUGCCAUAUCACAUUGCAAAAACAUAUUAAAUCUGCUGUCUACUGUCUCCCCGAGGUCUUCUGGCAUUUCUGCUUUCAGUGCUUGAGCACAGAUGAUUCCUCUCUUCACCUCAAUUUCUGUCUUUCAGCAGCUCAUGUGUUGUACCUACUGCCUUUGUAGACACGUGGGAUCGUUCAGGGUUCCUCUUUGAGGAACAGCAGUGUGAUUCCUUACACAUAAGUAAAUUCCCUCUCUUUUUUUUAGCAUGAAAUAAUCUGUCUCCACCAUUUCCCUUCCAGGCUGUCCUAUGGUAAUCUCUGCCUCAGUGCAAUUAAAAAGCGUGUUACUCUUUUUGGUUUCCAGAUUUUCCUAUUUAUAACUGUAUAGAGCACUGGCCUGUAUGUUAAUAAUCUGCCACAAUCUGUUUGAAUGUCGCAUACUGAGGAUCACAGGUUGGAACUCUUUUUCUGGAGAAAAGAAAAUGCUGUUCUUGCCUUAGGAAGUUUCUGUCCCAAAUGUCAAGAAUAUGGAUUAGCUUUUCUUUGGUGGGGAAUGACAUAGUAAAAUGUUGCUUUGUGCAGGAGACCGUUUCUAUGGGUGGCACAACACUCUGAAAUUAGCUUCCUUGGGAAAUAAGGUCUAUCUGUCACAUGAACUGCCAUUGUCCUCAUUUUCUAUGGUAUAAACACAGAGCAACAUGAAUAAAGGGGA